This is a long non-coding RNA of Xiphophorus maculatus (southern platyfish), 294 nucleotides long. RefSeq lists it as uncharacterized. The record is from RefSeq and is a predicted model, not a curated record. NCBI's taxonomy places the organism in Eukaryota, Metazoa, Chordata, Actinopteri, Cyprinodontiformes, Poeciliidae. The transcript is spliced from 3 exons.
GCCGCCUUGGAUCUCUGCUGGCUUGGACUGCAGCUUCGCUGGCUCUUGGAAGCUGAUCUGGAGCACUAUUUUUGGAAUAAAAUUUUCAGCGGUCAGCUUGGUUUUCUUCUUCACUCUGACUGGUGACAAGAUCUUCCUCACCCAGCCGGGUUUGUAGCAGCUCCCAAUGUUUUGACCUUCAUAAAUAUUCCUGUCAUUCCACUUAUAACUAGAACUUUUUGAUCGAUGGGAGGAACAUGAGACAAAGUCUUCCAUCAUCUGAGAUCCCAAAGUGACUCUGGAGGAGCUGCAGAG